RNAcentral lists this unclassified non-coding RNA (428 nucleotides) under uncultured Bartonella sp. Its description in RNAcentral is "partial 16S-23S ribosomal RNA intergenic spacer". The stretch from base 108 to 181 matches the Rfam family "tRNA". Lineage: Bacteria; Pseudomonadati; Pseudomonadota; Alphaproteobacteria; Hyphomicrobiales; Bartonellaceae. The record is from RNAcentral.
UUUAAGGAAGCUCUUUGUUUUUUGAAAGGGUGCUUUUAUGAGAUAGAGAUUUUUUAGAUAAUGCUUUUUUAGAUAAUGCUGGGGAAGGUUUUCCGGUUUAUCUCGGAGGGCUUGUAGCUCAGUUGGUUAGAGCGCGCGCUUGAUAAGCGUGAGGUCGGAGGUUCAAGUCCUCCCAGGCCCACCAAUUUACCUAUCCAUUUGCUUUUAUCUGUUUAUUUGCCGAUUUAUCGGUCCAUUGAAUUUAAGUGUUGGUAGCAGUUUUAUAAUGAUGAGAAAUCAUGCUUAUAAAAGAACUCCUUAUAAAAGGCUUGUUUUUAAAAUGUGACGCUUAUCCAUUUCGCUUAGGCAAGAGAAACUUCAAGCGGUUCAAAUACAAAAGGCUUUAAGUUUUGCAAAACACUUUGAAUUUUGCAAAACACUUUGAAUUU